AUCCAGGUGACGAGUCCCAAAUAGGACGAAGUGGGCAUUGUCCUGGAU
This is a non-coding RNA of Trichobilharzia regenti, 48 nucleotides long. Lineage: Eukaryota; Metazoa; Platyhelminthes; Trematoda; Strigeidida; Schistosomatidae. The record is from Rfam.